AACUAGAGGCUCUAAAGAGCCUGUGUCGCUCACCUUGGUCUAUGUGAAUAUUCAACAAAGGACACAGAUGGAUUCAUGACAAAAUUGUGUUUUGGUGGUGGCGAUGUGUUUGUAGAUCUUACUUUACUGAACAUUCUUGCUGCUUACAAUUAUCUCUAUCUAUAAUGAUUGGCCCAGUAGUUUCAGUGGAAAAUGUUAGUAAAAUUUACAAAGUUUAUGAAAAUUGUUAAAAAUUGACUAUAAAGGACAAUAACUCCUUAGGGGGUCAAUUGACCAUUUCAAUCAUGGUGACUUAUUUGUAAAUCUUACUUUGCUGAACAUUAUUGCUGUUUACAGUUUAUCUCUAUCUAUAAUAAUAUUCAAGAUAAUAACCAAAAAC
RNAcentral lists this long non-coding RNA (379 nucleotides) under Mytilus galloprovincialis (Mediterranean mussel). The record is from RNAcentral. Lineage: Eukaryota; Metazoa; Mollusca; Bivalvia; Mytilida; Mytilidae.